UACAAAACCCUCACCUUUGCAUCAGCACCUUUUCACUAUGUAGAGCAGGGCAGAAUGGGCCUCUAGGGAGAUAGUGGCCUGACAAAGGAAAUAGUUGGUGAGUCUACAAGAUUCUUAUAGGAUACUCUUGAAACUGUGUGUAGUUAAAACAUUUUUACAAAUUUGAGGGCACAUCAGAAUUACACAUUUAUUGUUGGUGGGGGGACAGUGAAAUAAGGAUGGCUAUUUUCCCUGUGGAAAUGAAAGUGAUCACUAAUAGGGGUAUUUUUUUUCCCCAAUAGGUUCUGUUUAUUGCUGAUGAAAUACAGACAGGAUUGGCCAGAACUGGUAGAUGGCUGGCUGUUGAUUAUGAAAAUGUCAGACCUGAUAUAGUCCUCCUUGGAAAGGCCCUUUCUGGGGGCUUAUACCCUGUGUCUGCAGUGCUGUGUGAUGAUGACAUCAUGCUGACCAUUAAGCCAGGGGAGCAUGGGUCCACAUACGGUGGCAAUCCACUAGGCUGCCGAGUGGCCAUCGCAGCCCUUGAGGUUUUAGAAGAAGAAAACCUUGCUGAAAAUGCAGACAAAUUGGGCAUUAUCUUGAGAAAUGAACUCAUGAAGCUACCUUCUGAUGUUGUAACUGCCGUAAGAGGAAAAGGAUUAUUAAACGCUAUUGUCAUUAAAGAAACCAAAGAUUGGGAUGCUUGGAAGGUGUGUCUACGACUUCGAGAUAAUGGACUUCUGGCCAAGCCAACCCAUGGCGACAUUAUCAGGUU
RNAcentral lists this small RNA (751 nucleotides) under Pan troglodytes (chimpanzee). RNAcentral's name for it is "processed transcript". The record is from RNAcentral. Lineage: Eukaryota; Metazoa; Chordata; Mammalia; Primates; Hominidae.